UACGUAGGGUGCAGGCGUUAAUCGGAAUUACUGGGCGUAAAGCGUGCGCAGGCGGUUUGCUAAGACAGGUGUGAAAGCCCCGGGCUUAACCUGGGAACUGCGUUUGAAACUGGGAGACUUGAGUGUGGCAGAGGGGGGUGGAAUUCCACGUGUAGCAGUGAAAUGCGUAGAUAUGUGGAGGAACACCGAUGGCGAAGGCAGCCCCCUGGGUUAACACUGACGCUCAUGCACGAAAGCGUGGGGAGCAAACAGG
Molecule: ribosomal RNA, 253 nt
Filed under: uncultured bacterium
Lineage: Bacteria
Description: partial 16S ribosomal RNA
Rfam family: Bacterial small subunit ribosomal RNA
Source: RNAcentral